UAGAUACCCUAUUAUUUUAAGCUAUAUAUUGGUAGUAAUUAAUAAUUUAUGAAAUCAUAAGAUUUUGGCGGUAUUUUAAGCUUAUUAGAGGAAUUUGCUCUGUGAUGGAUACAACGCCUCGAUCUUACUUAAUUUGGUUUUAAAAGUCAGUUUGUAUACCACUAUAUUUAAUUAUAUUGAAUAAUUAUAUUUAAGAUUUUUAUAAAAAAAAUAUAUUAAGUCAAGGUGCAAUUAAUAAUUAUGAAUGAAGUGAAUUACAUUAAUUUUAAUUUUAUUAAAAUAUUGAAAAAAAAAUUUUUUUAGGAUUUAAUAGUAAAA
Molecule: ribosomal RNA, 318 nt
Filed under: Ixodes affinis
Lineage: Eukaryota; Metazoa; Arthropoda; Arachnida; Ixodida; Ixodidae
Description: partial 12S ribosomal RNA
Source: RNAcentral